Molecule: ribosomal RNA, 279 nt
Filed under: uncultured bacterium
Lineage: Bacteria
Description: partial 16S ribosomal RNA
Rfam family: Bacterial small subunit ribosomal RNA
Source: RNAcentral
UGCCAGCCGCCGCGGUAAUACGGAGGGUGCAAGCGUUACUCGGAUUUACUGGGCGUAAAGCGCGCGUAGGCGGUUUGGCAAGUCUGAUGUGAAAGUCCUGGACUCAAUCCAGGAAGUGCAUUGGAAACUGUCAGACUAGAGUAUAGGAGGGGUAAGCGGAAUUCCAGGUGUGGAGGUGAAAUUCGUAGAUAUCUGGAGGAACAACGGAGGCGAAGGCGGCUUACUGGACUAUUACUGACGCUGAGGUGCGAAAGUGUGGGGAGCGAACGGGAUUAGAUA